GACGAAACACUGGAACUCUCCAGAAUAAAUUGGUACCUGGGUCUCUUCCGAAGUGAGUUGCUCUUAGGAGCUUCAAAUGAGGGUCUUUGAAGCCACAUGAAAAUUGAUGACUGGUUGUAAUAUCCAAGGUACCAAAUCAGACACACUUGUAAUUGUUCCCAAUAGUUUCUUAGCAGGCAUUUUGGAGGAAAAGAUUUGGAUCAGAAAUUCAGAAAUUACCUGGGCUCACAAAAAUAUGCCCCUCCAGCACCAUCCUGCCUUCUGCUUCCAAGAUACAUGAGCUUUCUGAGGAGCUGGUGAGAAUAUUGAAACUUCCUGGCCUUGGUUUCCCAUCUGGUAAAACGAGGAAGACCAAAGCUUAACCCUCACAAGGAAUAUGUAGAUGAGGAAACUGAAGCUCUUGGGGUAACAUGACUUGUGAAACUGCAUGCUUCUCCUCAGUGGCAGGGCGGGGACUCUGGAUGGAGGAACUGUCAAGACCUUCUAGAUCUCUGACAUGCAUAAACUGGCACGUUUAGAGAAUAACGAGGAAAACAAAGUAAAACAAAAGACGGUACCUGUGUGCUAAGAAUUUAUUACCCCCACAUCAAAAAACGUAUCCACCACGAUCAAGUCGGCUUCAUCCCUGGGAUGCAAGGCUGACUCAGCAUAUGCAAAUCAAUAAAUGUAAUCCAUCACAUAAACAGAACCAGAGACAAAAACCACAUGGUUAUCUCAAUAGAUGCAGAAAAGGCCUUUGAUAAAAUUCAACAUCCCUUCAUGUUAAAAACUCAAUAAACUAGAUAUUGAUGGAACAUAUCUCAAAAUAAAAGAGCUAUUUAUGACAAACCCACAGCCAAUAUCAUAUUGAAUGGGCAAAAGCUGGAAGCAUUCCCUUUGAAUACUAGUACAAGAUAAGGAUGCCUUAUUCUCACCACUCUAUUCAACCUAGUAUUGAAGUUCUGGCCAGGGCAAUCAGGUAAGAGAAAGAAAAAAAAGCAUAUUCUAAUAGGAAGAGAGGAAGUCAAAUUGUCUCUGUUUGCAGACAACAUGAUUGUGUAUUUAGAAAACCCCAUCGUCUCACCCCAAAAACUCCUUAAGCUGUGAGAAACUUCAGCAAAGUCUCAGGGUACGAAAUCAAUGUGCAAAAAUCACAAGCAUUCCUUUACCUCAACAAUAGACAAGCAGGGAGCCAAAUCAUGAAUAAACUCCCAUUCACAAUUGCUAGAAAGAGAGUAAAAUACCUAGGAAUACAGCUAACAAGGGAUGUGAAGGACCUUUUCAAGGAGAACUACAAACUACUGCUCAAGGAAAUAAGAGAGGACACAAACAAAUGGAAAAACAUUCCAUCCUCAUGGAUAGGAAGAAUCAAUAUCAUGAAAAUGGCCAUACUGUCCAAUGUAAUUUAUAGAUUCAAUGCUAUCUCCAUCAAGCUACCAUUGACAUUCUUCACAGAAUUAGAAAAAAACUACUUUAAAUUUCCUAUGGAAUCAAAGAAGACCCUGUAUAGCUAAGAAAAGCCUAAGGAAAAAGAACAAAGUUAGAGGCAUCACACUACCUGACUUCAAAUUAUACUACAGGCUACAGUAACCAAAACAGCAUGGUACUGGUACCAAAACAAACAUAUAGACCAACGGAACAGAACAGAGACCUCAGAAAUAACACCACACAUCUACAACCAUCUGAUCUUUGAUAAACCUGACAAAAACAAGCAAUAGGGAAAGGAUCUCCUAUUCAUUAAAUGUUGCUGGGAAAACUGUCUAGCCAUAUGCAGAAAACUGAAACUGGAUCACCUUUCCUUAUACCUUACACAAAAAUUAACUCAGGAUGAAUUAAAGACUUAAAUGUAAAACCCCAAACCAUAAAAACCCUAGAAGAAAACCUAGGCAAUAGCAUUCAGGACAUAGGCAUGGGCAAAGACUUCAUGAUGAAAACGCCAAAAGCAAUUGCAACAAAAGCCAUAAGUGACAAAUGGGAUCUAAUUAAACUAAAGAGUUUCUGCACAGCAAAACAAGCUAUCAGUAGAGUGAACAGGCAGCCUACAGAAUGGGAGAAAAAUUUUGCGAUCUAUCCAUCCGACAAAGGCCUAAUAUCCAGCAUCUAUAAGGGACUUAAACAAA
Molecule: long non-coding RNA, 2099 nt
Organism: Mandrillus leucophaeus (drill)
Lineage: Eukaryota; Metazoa; Chordata; Mammalia; Primates; Cercopithecidae
Exons: 4
Source: RefSeq, a predicted model, not a curated record